Molecule: long non-coding RNA, 366 nt
Organism: Mesocricetus auratus (golden hamster)
Lineage: Eukaryota; Metazoa; Chordata; Mammalia; Rodentia; Cricetidae
Exons: 3
Source: RefSeq, a predicted model, not a curated record
AAUCCAAGCGCUACAUGAUGCUAAAUAAAAAAAUAAAAGAAGAGUGAUGACCUCAGUCAAGACCCCACCCAGUGUUUCUUUGGCACAGAUGAAGAACAGAAAGCUUGGGAGUCAGUUCUGAGGGGAUGAGAGAAUGACUAAACAAAGACAGACAAUGAGAAGAGGCAUCCACAGAAUGGCAGGACUCAGGCAAUUGUUGCAAGGAUCCAAUAUUAGAAGAGGAAUCCUGGGGUAAAAAGUUGUGUUACUACUGAAAACUUUUCUGAGUACUUCAGCAGAGGUUCUUCCCAGCCCAGAAUACCAUGCUUUCUGAUGGGACUCUUUGACAUGGUCAAGAAAGUUUGUGGAAGUUUUAAUAAGAAUCAA